GUGAGUCAUCGAAUCUUUGAACGCACAUUGCGCCUCUCGUAACUGGGAGGCAUGCCUGUCUGAGCUUCAUUUAAACCUAUAAACCCAAUUGGGUUUGUUUUGGGCCUCGCCCUUGGGCGUCGCCUAGAAAUCAUCUGUCUUAUGAGCGGACGAGAUCCAUUAGGACUGACCGCAGAUGGGACCCUAAACUCUGAUUUGAACUCAGAUCAGGUAGGACUACCGCCUGAACUUAAGCAUAUCAAUAAGCGGAGGA
RNAcentral lists this unclassified non-coding RNA (253 nucleotides) under Archaeorhizomycetes sp. RNAcentral's name for it is "partial contains 5.8S ribosomal RNA, internal transcribed spacer 2, and large subunit ribosomal RNA". The stretch from base 1 to 69 matches the Rfam family "5.8S ribosomal RNA", at positions 84 to 154 of the family's 154-position model. Lineage: Eukaryota; Fungi; Ascomycota; Archaeorhizomycetes. The record is from RNAcentral.